GACGAACGCUGGCGGCGUGCUUAACACAUGCAAGUCGAACGGUGAAGCUCCAGCUUGCUGGUGUGGAUCAGUGGCGAACGGGUGAGUAACACGUGAGCAACCUGCCCCUGACUUUGGAAUAAGCGCUGGAAACGGCGUCUAAGACUGGAUACGAGACGGGUCCGCAUGGGCACUUUCUGAAAAGUUUGUCGGUUGGGGAUGGGCUCGCGGCCUAUCGGCUUGUUGGUGAGGUAAUGGCAGACCAAGGCGACGACGGGUAGCCGGCCUGAGAGCGCGACCAGCCACAAUGGGACUACGGGACGGACCAGACUCCUACGGGAGGCAACAGUGGGAAAUCUUGCCCAGUCAGCCCGCGUCUGAUGAAACGGCGCUCCGUGUGUAAUGACGGCCUUCGGGUUAUAAACCUCUGUAAGCAGGGAAGAAGCGAAAGUGACGGUACCUGCAGAAGAAGCACCGGCUAACUACGUG
RNAcentral lists this ribosomal RNA (468 nucleotides) under uncultured bacterium. RNAcentral describes it as "partial 16S ribosomal RNA". It matches the Rfam family "Bacterial small subunit ribosomal RNA", at positions 28 to 507 of the family's 1533-position model. The record is from RNAcentral.